UACAGAGGGUGCAAGCGUUGUUCGGAAUUACUGGGCGUAAAGAGCUCGUAGGUGGUUUGUCGCGUUGUCCGUGAAAACUCACAACUCAAUUGUGGGCGUGCGGGCGAUACGGGCAGACUGGAGUACUGCAGGGGAGACUGGAAUUCCUGGUGUAGCGGUGGAAUGCGCAGAUAUCAGGAGGAACACCGGUGGCGAAGGCGGGUCUCUGGGCAGUAACUGACGCUGAGGAGCGAAAGCGUGGGUAGCGAACAGG
This 253-nucleotide ribosomal RNA is filed under the name uncultured bacterium. Its description in RNAcentral is "partial 16S ribosomal RNA". It matches the Rfam family "Bacterial small subunit ribosomal RNA", at positions 524 to 776 of the family's 1533-position model. The record is from RNAcentral.